Molecule: ribosomal RNA, 999 nt
Filed under: uncultured bacterium
Lineage: Bacteria
Description: bacterial SSU rRNA
Rfam family: Bacterial small subunit ribosomal RNA
Source: RNAcentral
AGUUUGAUCCUGGCUCAGGAUGAACGCUAGCGGGAGGCUUAACACAUGCAAGUCGAGGGGCAGCAUAGGGUAGCAAUACUCUGAUGGCGACCGGCAAACGGGUGAGUAACGCGUAUGUAACCUACCCUGUACAGGGGGAUAACCCGGAGAAAUUCGGACUAAUAUCCCAUAACAAUAUCCGGGGGCAUCUUUGGAUAUUUAAAGUUCCGGCGGUACGGGAUGGGCAUGCGUAACAUUAGCUAGUUGGUAAGGUAACGGCUUACCAAGGCUUUGAUGUUUAGGGGUCCUGAGAGGGUGGUCCCCCACACUGGUACUGAGACACGGACCAGACUCCUACGGGAGGCAGCAGUGAGGAAUAUUGGUCAAUGGGCGCAAGCCUGAACCAGCCAUCCCGCGUGCAGGAAGACGGCGCUAUGCGUUGUAAACUGCUUUUCCAGGGAGAGAAACUUGCGCACGUGUUGCGCAAUUGACGGUACCCUGGGAAUAAGCAUCGGCUAACUCCGUGCCAGCAGCCGCGGUAAUACGGAGGAUGCGAGCGUUAUCCGGAUUCAUUGGGUUUAAAGGGUGCGUAGGCGGACUAUUAAGUCAGUGGUGAAAUCCUGCAGCUUAACUGCAGAACUGCCAUUGAUACUGAUAGCCUUGAGUUUGGUUAAGGUAGGCGGAAUGUGUAAUGUAGCGGUGAAAUGCUUAGAUAUUACACAGAACACCAAUUGCGUAGGCAGCUUACUGAGCCGACACUGACGCUGAGGCACGAAAGCGUGGGGAUCGAACAGGAUUAGAUACCCUGGUAGUCCACGCCGUANACGAUGAUUACUCGCUGUUGGCGAUACACUGUCAGCGGCUAAGCAAAAGCAAUAAGUAAUCCACCUGGGGGAGUACGGCCGCAAGGUUGAAACUCAAAGGAAUUGACGGGGGCCCGCACAACCGGAGGAACAUGUGGUUUAAUUCGAUGAUACNCCGAGGAACCUUACCNGGGCUUAAAUGUAGANNGCAUUUUCU